GACGAACGCUGGCGGCGUGCUUAACACAUGCAAGUCGAACGGAAAGGCCCUGCUCUUGUUGGGUGCUCGAGUGGCGAACGGGUGAGUAACACGUGAGUAACCUGCCCUUGUCUUUGGGAUAACUUCAGGGAACUGGGGCUCAUACCGGAUAGGAUCUCCUGCUGCAUGGUGGGGGUUGGAAAGUUUCGGCAGUUGGGGCUGGACUCGCGGCUUAUCAGCUUCUUGGUGAGGUAGGGGCUGACCAGGGCUGUGACGGGUAGCCGGCCUGAGAGGGUGACCGGCCACAAUAGGACUGAGAGACGGACCAGAAGCGAACGGGAGGCAGCAGGCGAGAAUAUUACACAGUGGGCGGGCGUCUGAGGCAGCAGCGCCGGGUGCGGGAUGACCGGUUUCGAGUGGAAAACAGCUGUCGAAUGUGACAAAGCGGGAGUGACGGUAAUGAGUAAGGAAGCAACGGCUAACUACGUG
Molecule: ribosomal RNA, 468 nt
Filed under: uncultured bacterium
Lineage: Bacteria
Description: partial 16S ribosomal RNA
Rfam family: Bacterial small subunit ribosomal RNA
Source: RNAcentral